UCGGGGAGAGACAAGAUACGCCCGGCGGAGGGGUCCCGGGGUCCGACGGGGGCAACAGACACCCCUCGGUGGUGAGAGGAGGGGCUGCCUGAGGAGUGGCAGGAGAAACCAGCGGCGAACAGCGAGCGGGAAUGGGAACGAGCCCCUCUUGCCCUUCUGGAACUUGUGUUUGCUGGCUGGGACAAGGCAGCGGAGGAGAAACUGGCAGCGUGAACUGCUCGGCACCCAGGAGCCAAGAGUGCCAAGAUCUGCAGUGACACAUUCACCCCCACCCGUGGUUGCAGAGCUGCUGCCUGGAAUGAGGCUGUUCUCCUGCUUUGUGAAUGCACUUAGAAGCGAGAGAACAAUCGACAGUUUCUUUGCAAUUGAAACAACUAAAAUUAAUCAAGUCCAAAUCCAUCCUGUCCAAGAGACCGUGAAUUCAACUGGAUCAGAAGCCCUUGGUUAAGCAGCCCCUGAAAGUCUAUCAGAAGUUUAUUAGUAUGGUAAUUUAUCUGGAGGGUUUUCGCUGGCAUCUGUUCUCCCCAGACCUGCCUGCACAGUUAUGUCAAGCCUCCUCAAACCCACUUCCAUUCAGAUAAAAAAACCAGAGGAGUGGAGAGCCUGGGCCGGUUUUUCCUUCCAUCACCCUUCAUCUCUCGAGAAGCAGUGUGGUUUGGAAAUGGGAUUUAUAAUUCCCCCUCCCGCAAGCAAGUCAAGAUCUUGUGAACACCACCACCACCACAAAUUAAUUAUCUGGGUGUUGAUGAUUCUGUGUUGUUCAGGAAACCUGUCAUAGGAAGAGUUGAAAAGAGAACAUAAUGAACCCAGAAGGGCUGGCUUGAAAGAGGUGAGGAUCAGGUCAAGUUGAUAAUGGAGGAUGUUAUUCCCUCCUUGAACUGACCUGGAAUCUAAUCUAAUUCAAUGUACACCUUAGAAAUCAAUGGGUAUGAAGCAUUCGCUGCAGUUGUAAAGGAAAAGGUUGGGCAUAUGUUCCUGAUGGUGAGGAAUGACUGUGGAAUGAGCUCCCAAGCUGCAACUCUUGAAGGUGCUGGAGUUACACUGGACAAGGAGAACCAGACUCUAGGUUGAGAAGCCUGGCCAAGUGGUGUACAUGGGGGAUCCACCUCUGCACCUGCUGAAGGGCAUGAGUGAGGCUUCUGCAAAAACAAGGUCUGGCCUUUGAUGACAGUUUGGUUUCUGUGGACCAUGCUCACUGCGUUCUCAUGACUUCUCUAGGUCUGGGAAGUGAUCAGACCCACUGGUGGCCUGGCCUUUCAAUUUGCAAUGAUGGAUUCUGCUCAUUAGUUCUGUGCUUUUUUCCACCUCUGAAUUAAAGAAGUGUUUAAAUUCUAUCUCUUCUAAUAUCAGACACUGAAUCAAAAACCAUAUUGUAUCCACAGAACAAUACUUGUAGGUGGGUGACAGAGGUGAGAUUUGUGCAAACCAGGCAUAAUUAUGUCUUCUUCAUUCACUUUAACUGUAUCUGCUGCCUGAAAUGGCACAGAGCUACAGUUCUGAGAGUUUUUUGGACAUAUUUAAUCAGAGUAGCCUCCAUUUAGUUAUCAAACACAGGAGCAAAAUGAGCUUUGCUUAUAAAAAACCCCAAACUUUCUAAACCUCUGUCCCCCAUUGCUCUCCAUUCUUUUUUCCUUCCUGCAUGGUGCUGAGCAUCUCCCAAGGAUUAAGCGAUUAUUCAGAAAAUUGAUUCUGCUCCCAUUGAAGGUGAUUACUUCCCCCAUGCUGAAAUCCACAAAAGCACAAUCAGAUACACAACUAAGGUAGUUUUAAGCAUUUGCAUCUUAUACAGGUUGGCCUGCAAACACCUGUAGUUUUUCUGGCUGAUAGCAACCAUUUAUGGGCAUAGGGGGUAAGGAAAAAAUCAGUGAACUUUAAAAAGCAAAAUAAAAAGGGAACAUUUUUCUGAUUGAGAAAAAUCAAGCUUAAUGAACUGAGAUGAAAUAAUUUCCUCAAUUUGCUUGGACAUUUUAAAUUAAAAGCAGAGUGUAACCUCUGCUUGCAAAUUACUGUAAACAUUUCAAUCCCUCUCUAAUUCAUGGUGAAAGGGAGGAAAGGCUGGACUAUGGAAUAUUAUUCAAAGAUCACUCUUGGGAAGUCAGACUCUUUGUUUUCCCCUGUUUUUUUGGGCCAGAGUGUCUAGGACUUUACAGAAUUUUAUAUAUAUAUAUUCAUAUAUAUAUAUAUAUAUAUGAAUAUUUAUGAAGAGCUUGCUAGUGACAGACCAGGCUGGCCCUGCAGGCCCAAAGGAAUUAAUGUAAAUUCCAGUCAACCAUGAAAACCCACUAGAAUUGAACUGUAUUUCAGCAUGGUGGAUAAAGCACAUCAAAGAGCAGAAUUUCUAUAAGAUAAUUACACACAAUGCAACUCUAAUCACAGAAAGACUGUGGAUAUUGCUGAUAAAGCGUAAUAAAUCUUUUAUGACUACG
Molecule: long non-coding RNA, 2426 nt
Organism: Harpia harpyja (harpy eagle)
Lineage: Eukaryota; Metazoa; Chordata; Aves; Accipitriformes; Accipitridae
Exons: 4
Source: RefSeq, a predicted model, not a curated record